CCUACGGGUGGCAGCAGUGGGGGAUAUUGCACAAUGGGGGAAACCCUGAUGCAGCGACGCCGCGUGUGGGAAGACGGUCUUCUGGAUUGUAAACCACUGUCCCCAGGGACGAAAAUGACGGUACCUGGGGAGGAAGCUCCGGCUAACUACGUGCCAGCAGCCGCGGUAAUACGUAGGGAGCAAGCGUUGUCCGGAAUUACUGGGUGUAAAGGGAGCGUAGGCGGGGAUGCAAGUUGGGUGUCAAAACUACCGGCUCAACCGAUAGUCGCACUCAAAACUGCAGCUCUUGAGUGAAGUAGAGGCAGGCGGAAUGCCUAGUGGAGCGGUGAAAUGCGUAGAUAUUAGGAGGAACACCAGUGGCGAAGGCGGCCUGCUGGGCUUUUACUGACGCUGAGGUUCGAAAGUGUGGGGAGCAAACAGGAUUAGAUACCCGAGUAGUC
RNAcentral lists this ribosomal RNA (440 nucleotides) under uncultured bacterium. Its description in RNAcentral is "partial 16S ribosomal RNA". It matches the Rfam family "Bacterial small subunit ribosomal RNA", at positions 338 to 795 of the family's 1533-position model. The record is from RNAcentral.